GAUCGGAAGGAUCAUUA
RNAcentral lists this ribosomal RNA (17 nucleotides) under Neofusicoccum parvum. RNAcentral's name for it is "partial 18S ribosomal RNA". Lineage: Eukaryota; Fungi; Ascomycota; Dothideomycetes; Botryosphaeriales; Botryosphaeriaceae. The record is from RNAcentral.